Molecule: long non-coding RNA, 1927 nt
Organism: Homo sapiens (human)
Lineage: Eukaryota; Metazoa; Chordata; Mammalia; Primates; Hominidae
Exons: 2
Source: RefSeq, a predicted model, not a curated record
UAUGUAACAUCUGAAAGACAGUCUUUGAAAGAGGCCGCUGAACCUCCACAGAUUUCCUCCUUUGUACAGGAGGGACAGGGCCCAAUUCUUGACCAGAUCUGGUACACAGAGAGCUUGCUAUGAGGCAAUCCUUGCACAUGGACAGCUGCAGCCAUCCAGCUGUCCACUGACAGGAUCUGGCUUGAUACAGGCCUAGGACUUAGUAACAAAUGGGCUAAGCUGAGAGCCACCUAGACGAUCCUCCUCUAUGAGCCGGACCCAAUAGUCUUGUGUACCAACAGCUGGGCCAUCUUUAAGGGACUUGCUAUGUGGCUACCACAAGGAGAAGCUCAGGAUUGGACAGUAGCAGGCUGCCUGCUUUGGGGUGCUGGCAUGUGGAAGGACAUUCUCUGUCACAUCCAGGGAAUGCAUGUAACAGUCUUCCAUGUGGAUGCCCACACUGCAUCUACGCCAUCUGGAAAUCAACAUGAGAACAAGCUAGCCUGCAUUCAUCUCUUCAAGGUAGUCCCCACAGACGUGGCCCACUGGCUGCCCAAAAAGACAGGACUUUGGGGACAGCAUUCCCUUUGGGCCACAGUGAAGAAUUAGGGCCUGCCACUAUGACAUAAAGACAUAGUACACCUCUGUCAGCAAUGUCCUACCCAUGCACAGGAAUGCCCUAGGCCCUUGCCACACAAUACUGGAGAGAUCCCCUGGGGCCAGAGUCCAGUACAAUGGUGGCAGGUAGACUACAUAGGGCAUUUGUUUCUAUCUAAUGGCUGCUACUAUACCUUGACUUAUGUGGACACCUGCACAGGGCUACCACAGUCAUAUCCCAGCAAGCAUGCUACCCAGAAAACUAUCAUAAAAGGACUAGAGUGGCUGUGUGUGGCCUAUGGUGUCCCCACCAAUAUCAAUAGUGACCAGGGCUUGCACUUUACCAGACAUAAAGUGUAGGAAUGGGUGGAGGCCCUGGAUAUCCACUGACAUUUCCACCUGCUGUACAUCCCUGCAGCCGUGGGGCUGAUUUAAAGGAUGAAUGGACUGUUGAAGCAACAACUCCAGCAGGAGACGCACUCUGGCUCUGUGGACACACCAUUUACCAGCAGUUGUCUGCACCCUGAAUGAACAUGGCGUUCUCAUCACCAGUGCCUAUGUCCUUCCGAUGCAAGAACGUGAUACCACUCUCAGGAUCCAGGUGGACAAGAUGGUGUGCAGCAGACCCUCUUUACCAACUGGGCACAGAUGGUGGCCUCUCUCCAGAACAAAACAGACUGUUGGGCCUGUGAAGAGCUGCCCCUCUCCUCCAUCAUAAGCCUGCUGUGGUGAAUCCAAAAUUAACUCCCAAGUUGGAUUAUUUUUUGUUUUAGUUUGCAUUGCUGCUGCAGCAGUCUGGCAGCGAUGCUUCUCCACAUUACCUGGCCCCAGGGAAAUCAUGGAAGAAUAGCGUGAUAAAAAUGUGAGAGCUGUUCCAGGGUAGCUGGGGUGGACUGUAUGGUAGAAGCACCUGAUAGCAGUACCUUAACUUAGCCAUAACCUGAGAAUGGCCCUGUAUGGCAGAGGCACCUGAAUGUGUGUUCAGAGUUCCAAGCUGAGGAAUCCAGGAGUGGCCAACCCAGGCAUUCAUUCCUUAUCUAUGAGGAACAUCUGAGCCCCUGGCCUGUCUAGUGAAACACAGGCCAUACAGGGGAUUGAGGCCCUUUGUUUUGGGUUAAGUGAAGGUUGCCAGGUGAAGAUGGUUAGGGGGAGGGUGCUUAGUGAAAAUGCUAUAUAAACUACAUGCUUUUUGCAAGUGGUUACAGUUCUCCUGCCCAGCCUGCUGCCUCUGGGCCGUAUGGUUCUCCAGCCCAGCACCCCCUCACUGGGCUGUGUGGUUCUCCUGUCCAGCCUGCCGCCACUGGCCCUCCCUCUUUGUAGGUUUCCUGCUAAUAAAGCCCUAUGUCCUGUU